Molecule: ribosomal RNA, 434 nt
Filed under: uncultured bacterium
Lineage: Bacteria
Description: partial 16S ribosomal RNA
Rfam family: Bacterial small subunit ribosomal RNA
Source: RNAcentral
AGCGAACGCUGGCGGCAGGCCUAACACAUGCAAGUCGAACGAACCUUUCGGGGUUAGUGGCGGACGGGUGAGUAACACGUGGGAACGUGCCUUUAGGUUCGGAAUAACUCAGGGAAACUUGUGCUAAUACCGAAUGUGCCCUUCGGGGGAAAGAUUAAUCGCCUUUAGAGCGGCCCGCGUCUGAUUAGCUAGUUGGUUGAGGUAAUGGCUCACCAAGGCGACGAUCAGUAGCUGGUCUGAGAGGAUGAUCAGCCACAUUGGGACUGAGACACGGCCCAAACUCCUACGGGAGGCAGCAGUGGGGAAUCUUGCGCAAUGGGCGAAAGCCUGACGCAGCCAUGCCGCGUGAAUGAUGAAGGUCUUAGGAUUGUAAAAUUCUUUCACCGGGGACGAUUAUGACGGUACCCGGAGAAGAAGCCCCGGCUAACUUCGUG